CUUAUCAACUUCCCUCUUCAACUCAGCCCACAGGUUUUCAUUUAUCAACUUCCCUCUUCAACUCAGCCCACAGGUUUUCACUUAUCAACUUCCCUCUUCAACUCAGCCCACAGGUUUUCACUUAUCAACUUCCCUCUUCAACUCAGCCCACAGGUUUGCACUUAUCAACUUCCCUCUUCAACUCAGCCCACAGGUUUUCACUUAUCAACUUCCCUCUUCAACUCAGCCCACAGGUUUGCACUUAUCAACUUCCCUCUUCAACUCAGCCCACAGGUUUUCACUUAUCAACUUCCCUCUUCAACUCAGCCCACAGGUUUUCACUUAUCAACUUCCCUCUUCAACUCAGCCCACAGGUUUUCACUUAUCAACUUCCCUCUUCAACUCAGCCCACAGGUUUGCACUUAUCAACUUCCCUCUUCAACUCAGCCCACAGGUUUUCAUUUAUCAACUUCCCUCUUCAACUCAGCCUACAGGUUUUCACUUAUCAACUUCCCUCUUCAACUCAGCCUACAGGUUUUCAUUUAUCAACUUCCCUCUUCCACUCAGCCCACAGGUUUUCCAUUGGAUUUAGGUCCAGCAACUGAGAUGGCAGAACAAUGAUUUUGUUGUUUGUUUGGUCUCAUCUGACCAGAGCACCUUCUUC
Oncorhynchus keta (chum salmon) is the source of this 643-nucleotide long non-coding RNA. RefSeq lists it as uncharacterized. The record is from RefSeq and is a predicted model, not a curated record. The transcript has 4 exons. Lineage: Eukaryota; Metazoa; Chordata; Actinopteri; Salmoniformes; Salmonidae.